AGAGUUUUAUCAUGGCUCAGGAUAAACGCUGGCGGCGCACAUAAGACAUGCAAGUCGAACGAACUUAACCAUUAGUUUACUAUUGGAGCGGUUAGUGGCGGACUGGUGAGUAACACGUAAGCAACCUGCCUAUCAGAGGGGAACAACAGUUAGAAAGUGACUGCUAAAUACCGCAUAUGCCUUAGAAUCACAUGGUUCAAAAGGGAAGGAGC
RNAcentral lists this ribosomal RNA (212 nucleotides) under uncultured bacterium. RNAcentral describes it as "partial 16S ribosomal RNA". It matches the Rfam family "Bacterial small subunit ribosomal RNA", at positions 8 to 210 of the family's 1533-position model. The record is from RNAcentral.